RNAcentral lists this transfer RNA (58 nucleotides) under Apaloderma vittatum (bar-tailed trogon). It matches the Rfam family "tRNA", at positions 8 to 63 of the family's 71-position model. Rfam says of the family: Transfer RNA (tRNA) molecules are approximately 80 nucleotides in length. Their secondary structure includes four short double-helical elements and three loops (D, anti-codon, and T loops). Further hydrogen bonds mediate the characteristic L-shaped molecular structure. tRNAs have two regions of fundamental functional importance: the anti-codon, which is responsible for specific mRNA codon recognition, and the 3' end, to which the tRNAs corresponding amino acid is attached (by aminoacyl-tRNA synthetases). tRNAs cope with the degeneracy of the genetic code in two manners: having more than one tRNA (with a specific anti-codon) for a particular amino acid; and 'wobble' base-pairing, i.e. permitting non-standard base-pairing at the 3rd anti-codon position. Lineage: Eukaryota; Metazoa; Chordata; Aves; Trogoniformes; Trogonidae. The record is from Rfam by way of RNAcentral.
UAGCUCAGUCAGUAGAGCAUAGCACUAACAAUGCUAAGGUCGUGGGUUCGAUUCCCGU